UAGAGUUUGAUCCUGGCUCAGGACGAACGCUGGCGGCGUGCUUAACACAUGCAAGUCGAACGGUGAAAGCGGAGCUUGCUCCGCUGGAUCAGUGGCGAACGGGUGAGUAACACGUGGGCAACCUGCCCCAGACUUCGGGAUAACUCUUCGAAAGAGGCGCUAAUACCGGAUAUGAACUCUGCAGGCAUCUGCGGAGUUGGAAAGUUUUUCGGUCUGGGAUGGGCCCGCGGCCUAUCAGCUAGUUGGUGAGGUAGUGGCUCACCAAGGCGACGACGGGUAGCCGGCCUGAGAGGGCGACCGGCCACACUGGGACUGAGACACGGCCCAGACUCCUACGGGAGGCAGCAGUGGGGAAUAUUGCGCAAUGAGCGAAAGCUUGACGCAGCGACACCGCGUGUGGGAUGAAGGUUCUAGGAUUGUAAACCACUUUCAGGAGGGAAGAAAAUGACGGUACCUCCACAAGAAGCCCCGGCCAACUACGUGCCAGCAGCCGCGGUAAUACGUAGGGGGCGAGCGUUGUCCGGAUUUAUUGGGCGUAAAGAGCUCGUAGGCGGUUCAACAAGUCGGUCGUGAAAGUUCAGGGCUCAACCCUGAAAUGUCGAUCGAUACUGUUGUGACUAGGAUAUGGUAGAGGUGAGUGGAAUUCCGAGUGUAGCGGUGAAAUGCGUAGAUAUUCGGAGGAACACCAAUUGCGAAGGCAGCUCACUGGGCCACUAUCGACGCUGAGGAGCGAAAGCUAGGGGAGCAAACAGGGAUUAGAUACCCUGGUAGUCCUAGCUGUAAACGAUGGAUACUAGAUGUAG
RNAcentral lists this ribosomal RNA (803 nucleotides) under uncultured Actinomycetes bacterium. RNAcentral's name for it is "bacterial SSU rRNA". It matches the Rfam family "Bacterial small subunit ribosomal RNA", at positions 1 to 825 of the family's 1533-position model. Lineage: Bacteria; Bacillati; Actinomycetota; Actinomycetes. The record is from RNAcentral.